Monodelphis domestica (gray short-tailed opossum) is the source of this 17062-nucleotide non-coding RNA. The record is from RefSeq and is a predicted model, not a curated record. Lineage: Eukaryota; Metazoa; Chordata; Mammalia; Didelphimorphia; Didelphidae.
AAAAUUUAAAAAUUCUUUUUAAAAAGGAAGAAAAAAAUUCAGCAUAACCAAUCAACAUACUGAAAAAGCUUCUCUCUUUAUAUAUAGUGUUCCAUACCUGUGAAUCCUGCUUUCUGUAAAGGAGUCCUUCUCCUAUCUCUUCUUUGGGGUCAAAUGUUCUUUAUUGUUUCGAAAAAUUCAGUUUUGAUUGUUUUUUGAUUAUGCUUUCCACCUAUGUUAUUUUACUUACUAUAUAUGUUGUCUUCCUGCCUUUGCUAAUUUUACAUCAGUUCAUGGAAGUCUCUUUAUGUUUCUCUGUAUUCUUUAUGUUUAUUGGUUCUUACUACAUAAUUAUAUUCCAUUACAUUUAUGUGCCACAAUUGACUUGACCAUUUGUCUGCUUAUGGACACCUAAUAUCUUUCCCUUUGCUUGCCACAUAUGUUUUGGUGUAUAUGGAAGUUUUCUUUUGGUCAAUACCCUCCAUUGUCAAUGACCCAGUGGAAUUUCUGGGAUAAAAGGCAUAGAUAUUCUUGUCACUUUAUUUGCAUAAUUCUAAAUUUCUGUACAGAAUGGUUUUAAACCAAUGUCUGAUUGCCAAUUCUGACAAUCUUUUCUCAGUCUUCAAUUUUUCUUUUCUGCUUUUCUGACUUUUCUGCUGCAUUUGACAAUAUUGAUCACCUUUUCCUCUUGGAUACUAGAGACAGUAAUAUCUAGGGGUAGAAGUGUCUCCACCAAUUGGAUACUCUCUCUUCUCUAGUUUUUCAUGACAUUGCUCUUUCUUGGCUAUCCUCCUAUUUUUCUGACUAUUGUUUCCUGAUCUCCUCUACUGGAUUUAUCAUAUAUAACAUACCUGCUAACAAUGGGUAUUCUUUAGGACUCUGCCUGCAUCAUCUUCUCUUCUUUCCCUUUACUCUUUUUGAUGACCAUAGUAACUCCCAGGGGUUUGCUUAUCAUCUUUGUAUAGAAGAUUCCCAGACCUGUAUAUCCAGUUCCAAUCUCUUCCUUAAUCUUUAGUCCUUCAUUACCAACUUACUUUGUACAUUUCCAAAUACUUAUCCUGAAGACAGCUCAAACUCAGAACAGCACAUAUCUUUUCACUCAAAUCUUCUAUAUUUCUCUAUUGGGGAAGAAGGCACUACAUUCUUCUUGUCUCUUAGGUUCUCUAACUUACAUGCUGUCAACAACUCUUUUGUCUCUCUCAUCCCACAUUUCCAUUUGUUGAUGUUUAAGCCUUUCAGGUAUGUCUGACUCUUUAUGACCCCAUUUGGGGUUUUCUUGGCAAGGAUUGAAGUGGUUUGCCUUUUUUCCUCUCCAAUUCAUUUGAUGGAUAAUGAAACUGAAGCAAACAGGUUAAGUGACUUGUCCAGGGUUACACAGCUAAUAAGUGUCUAAGGCUAGAUUUCUUCCUGACUCCGGACCCAGCACUCUCACAUGUAUCAUCUAGUUGCCUUCCACAUAUCCAAUAAAUUGCCAGAUCUUGCCACUUGUCCCUCUGCAAUAUCUCUAUUAUCUGAUCCCUUUUCUUUACUCAUGUAACCAUCUCCUUAGUGGACACCUACAUCAUCUCUCAGUUAGAUUAUUAUAGUGACCUCCUACAUGGCCUCCCUGCCUCAAGUCUCUUUCCACCCCAAUAUGUCUUUCAUGCCACUGCCAAGAUGAUUUCCCCUUAAACACAGAUCUAAGUGCGCCACUCCUCACUUGACAAAGUCUUAUGGAUUCUUUUUGUCUCUGGAAUAAAAUAUAAACCCUCUGGCUUAAAAAUACAUCACAACUGGGCCCUCCCAAGCCUUUCUUUCUGGCCUCAUUUCAUACUUCCUUUCUUGACCUUUAUGGUUUAGUCAACCUAGUCUUCUCUAUAUUCCUCACACCUGGCAUCAAUCAAAGGAACUGGGAUUGUUAGCCUGGAGAAGAAAGUGGCAGGGAUGUGAUAGCUAUCUUCAAGCAUUUGAUUAUCUUUGCCUGAUAUCUUGCAAAUCUAAUCAAAAGAACUUUAAACUAAAAAGGUUGAGGACGGGAGAAAGUUGUCUUAGGAAAAGGAAUCAGACUUGCUCUGUUUGUUCAGAGGGAAGACUCAAGAGCAAUAGAUGGAGUGGUAAAGAGUCUCAUUUAGUCCCUAUGUCAGGAAAAUCCUUUUUAACAAUCAACUGUUCCAAAGUGCAAAUGGUUGCCUCAGGACAUUGUGUAUUCCUGCUAAGCAGAGACUAAAUAGCUACUUGUUGGGUAUAUGAUAAUGGAAAUUCCUUUUCAUGUAUGUGUUGGACAAGAUUGUGUCUGUGGUCCCUUUCAACUCUAAAGACUGUGAUUCUGUUAUACUAUACUACUAUGGUUUCUUAUAUUUUGUCUCCUGUGAUUUCCUGGAAAUGUUCAUAUUAAUUUCCAUAUUGUAUCUUUCCCUUAUAAGAUGGUGGAGUUUGGUGGAUAUACUCAGGAAACUUUCUCCCUUCCUCAUCCUUUUUAGUUUAAAGCUCCUUUGAUUAGAUUUGCAAGAUGUCAGGCAAAUGUAAUCUUUAAAAAAUUUUUUUAUUUAAUGGAUUAAUUAAGAAAAAUUUUCCAUGGUCUCACCCCCUCCCAUAGCUAACACACAAUUCCACUGGAUUUUACAUGUGUCAUUGAUAAAGAACUAUUUCCAUAUUAUUGAUAUCCAGGCAAAUAUAAUCUUAAGAAAUUAUUUUUACUCAAAAAAUUUUAAAACCGUACCUUCUUUCUUAGAAUAAAUACUAAAUAUUGAUCCCAGGGCAGAAGAGAAGUAAGGACUAGGCAAUUAGGGUUAAAUGGCUUGCCAAAGUUUACACAGUCAGACAGUAUCUGAGGUCAGAUUCAAACCCAGGACUUCCUCUCUCCAGGCCUGCCUGAGCCACCCAGCUGCUCCAGCCAAAUAUAAUCUUAUCAGACUUUGUUAGGCUUACUCUAUCCCUGACUAGAAAUGUAUCUUUUCCAUAUAUUAAACCAUGGUCCAGAAAUUAAAAUCUUAUUCUCAACUUCUAGAUUCUUCCCAAACAACUUUAAACUUCUACUUCCCUUACCUUCAAUAGGAAGCAGUGAUGGAAACACUACCUGUGGCCCUAUUGUCUUCAGCAUCUUGCCCAAGACUUUAUCAUCUUUGGCAUGCUUAAUGGAUUUCUUCUGGCAAACAUCAUUUAUGCUCAUUUGAGUUACCCAAAAUUCAUACUAGUCCCCCAUUUUAAGGUCUUGAGAGGUUCUCUAUUAUGUUUUGGACACAUGCCCAAGAAGACAAUAUAUCUCUUUAUUAUAGUUAUCAAUUUGAAAAAUCGAUGCUUCAGUUCCUUUCAGCAAGACAUCAUCAACUAUCUUUUCUUCCUCUGACCACUGCUAGAUGAUCUCCCAAAUGAAAGCCCCUUUGAUAUUAUCUCAUCAUUAUCUGGAAGAUGAAACCUUCUCAAAUCAUUCAGUUUCCCCCUAUACAGAAAGAAUUCCAACUAGUCAAUGGUCUUUUCUCCUCUUUGUGAUAUUCUACUUUCCAUCCUUCUGAAAUAAGUCCAGAUUCCUCUGUGACUCUGACUCUUCCUUUAUAUCAUUAUUAUUGUUGUUGUUUUCAGACUAAAGGAUUGAUGAAAUCGAUUAAUAAACAUUUUUAAAGCACCUAUUACGUUUCAGGAACUGUGUGAAGUGCUGGAAUCAUAAUAGUUGUGAUAAUUGCCUUCCCAUGCCUCUUUCACACUCAGAAAGAACAAUGCAGCAUUCCUUGGCAUGGAUGCUUUUUGGUUUUAUGUGCCUGGCAAUACCCAGAAGGGCGAUAGUAUUUGUGUUUUCACUAAAUUUAUUCUGGACAAAAAAGUAAGUUUUUUUAAAGGGAUAAAUAUUAAUAAGUAUUUGUGUUUUCACUAAAUUUAUUCUGGACAAAAAAAGGAAGUUUUAAAAAAGGGAUAAAUAUUAAUAAGUAUUUCAGAAGAAAUUUUGAAGAGAAGUCUGUGAAUUACAUGCUCUUUCAUUUGCUUCAUUCUUUCCUUUUUAUUUCUACUUGGUUUAAAUAAAUUGUUGGUAGAAAAUAAGAGUUUGCAACAAUGCACAAACUAAGAGGAACACAUUACUUUUAUAUUUCCUACAUUAUUAUAGGACCUCAUUUCUGUGUGCUAUUAUUAUUGUUUUUAUUGUUACUACUACUACUAUCAUCAUCAUCAUCAUCAUCACAGAUAGCAUUAGCCUUUGUUCUCUGUGACUCAGACUGUAGCUAGCUGAUGGCUUAGUCUUGCACAUGACUUCCUCAGGGAUACUUCUGGAAUAUAGAGAGAAUGCAUUUCCAGACACUCCACAGGAAAAAUUACUCAAGAAAACUCCACUCUUGUAGCCAAAUUAAUUCACUGAAGCAAUGCCUCAACUUUUUCCAAAGACAAUAAAGGUGGGUCCCAGGCCAGGUUCAUAUAAAGGCUAGAGUCCUUUCAUAUGCCAGUGACAAUCUAGCAGGACAGCAAGGUCUACUGGAUAAUGCAACCACAACAGUUCCAGUAGUGGCUGGUCAGAAGUAAAUAGUGAAUCUUUUGAGGUAACAAGGUUAGUUCUUAUAAGAGAUUAAAUGGACCAGGGUCAGAAACAGAAGGAGUGUUCAUAAUCCAGAGGUCCAAGUGGACAGUAGGCAAUGCGAAAACCCAAAGGGCCAUGUUGUGGCUGAAUGUUCUUGAAUUUUGCUUUAAAGACACUUCUCAAAUGCUGGGGAGAUAAAACAGGCCAUGAUGUUUCGUAUUUGUUACCAUAGUCAAUGGUGAAUUUUCCCUAUCCCAUGUUUAGAUCAAAAAAUGGUAUCAUUACCUUCUUCCCUAUUCCAUGGGUUUGUACAUUGCUUCAUGAAUAUCACAUUUUUUUUCUAGGUGUACAAGGUGGUCUCCGAGGCUUAUUUGAUUUAGUAUACCAGGACACAUGAUUGUUAUGAAAUUGGGAAAGGUAGUUAAGUGUAUCUGAGUCAAUUCAGAUUUUAAGUACUUCUACCAUAGUUUUGGAACUGAAUGCAUGUGCCAUGAAGCUAUAAUUUUACUUUAAAAAACCUCAAAGAGAAGACAAGGCAAGAAUGGUCUCAGAUUCAUCAGACUUUCAAGAAUCUGGGUGGUCUGAUGAGUCUAAACUUACACAAGAGGUAUAUUAUUCAAUUUCAUUUAUCUUGGUGAAUAUGGAGAUUAUCCUUUUAAGUCCUAGGUUUGAAACAAAUCCUGUCCAUGUUACUAUAUGGGCUGUGAUUAGUUUCUUGUCACUAAUAUGAUUUUUCUCAUGGAAAACAGCUGACUUUACAUGGUGGUAGAUACCUUGUCUAAAAAAACAACUUACAAUCAAUUGACCCAAAGGACAGUAACCUGCCUUGGGAGACAAUGGUUUUCUCAUCACUGGAAGUCUUUCAGCAGAGAUUGUAUGAUUGAUUGUUAGGAAUUUCAUAAGGGAGGAUUCCUGUCCAAGUUUAAGUUGAACAAGAUAAACUCUGAGAUCCCUUUCAACUCUGAGAUUCUGGAAUCUUGCAAUAUCAGAAAUAGAAUGUAUAUAAGAGAACAUUUACAAAACAGAACUCAGCAGCAUAUGAAUAAUGGCUGAUUAAGUGAGAGGUAUGAAUGAAUGAACAAGAAAACAUUUAAGCACUUCCUUUGUGGCAGACACUGUGUUAAGCUCUGGGAAAACAAAUAUAAAAGUGACACAGAUGCGGGAUGGCCAAUUCCACACCAGAGGGUCAACAACUGUGUGUCCACAGAGGUUGCCUGACCAAGAGUACUCAGUUCAAGACUGAGGCGAGCAUGCAAUGUAAGACUGAGGAAACCUCCAAACCAGGAAAUUCAUCAUAUCUCAAGAUGGUGUCAGCUUUGGUGCUCAUACCUGAAAUACUAUCUGUGUCUCUGAAUGGAGGUUGGAGAACAGAGCAAAAGAGAGCAGGACAAACUUUGCACAUUGAGAAAAGGUAGAUUCAAGAUUCUAUAAGUAAACAGAAAGCUUUAUUAUAUUCAUGGGGAAUUUCAUGAGAAUCCCAAGAAGAGGAGAAAAAGACUUCUAGGAAACGUGAGUUAUCUCUUUUACCACAUCACAUUAUUUAAACUUGAAUCUACUUUCCCUUGGAUUAGAGACAUACUUGGGGGGAAAUGUGCCCCUGGUUUGGGGGAUGGCUGUUUUUUUAUUGCUUUACUAUGACACCCUAAUACAUAGACUAUCUAUGAAAGUGAAUUAAGUCUGAAUGGCUAAUUGAUAUCAAAUGACAAUCACUAUGAGCAGCACACUAAUGGGGGGCUCAUGAGAUAGGAAAACUUUAGACCUUUAUGAUCCACUAGAAGGGGUCCUUUGGUGGACCAACCUAUUAGUGUGAGUGGAGGUUGGGAGAAGGAGCUCUGAGAAUGUGCUGUAUGAUCCUAUGAAACAGAAGGCAAAUUUAGGUCUGAUAUAAAGAAAAACAUCCUAACAGAGCUGUUCAAAAAUAGAAAGGGUUGACUCGGGAGAUCAUAGUUGGAUAGGAACAUGAACAGAGCUGAAAAGGACCCUACAGGUCAUCAAGUACAAUUUCACCUCACUAGAAGUCUUUAAUAAGAGACUGGAUGACUAGUUAUUUAUCUGAUAUAUUGUAAUGGAGAUUCAUUUUUGGCUAAGUUUAGACUAGAUGGCUGCUAACAUUCUUUCCAAUUCUACAAUUCUGUGAUACUCUGUCUCUCUACUUGUUUAAUAAUUAUUAUAAGAUGCCAUGUAUAUUUAAAAGAGCACUGAAUUUGGAAUCAGAGGAUAUGGAUUAUAGUUCUGCUAUUUACUAGCAGUGUGGUUUUAGAAAAUUAAUUUAGUCUUUCUGAACUUCAUAUUUUGCAUUUGUAAAAUGGGGGAUAAACGUCUUUGCAAUAUUGGCUUCACAAGGUUGUUAUGAGAAAACACUACAGAAACAUGAGCUAUCAUUCUCUUCAUCACCAACACUACCACCUUCAUCAAAUGGGUUAAGAACUCAGUAGAAAGCUAGUUGUAAUUCAAUUCACCUGAUAGGAUAAAAUUGGACUGUAUCUAAAUGAAUCACAUAUGAUCAAAGGAUUUGAAUAGUCUGAUCCUGUUUCUUUUGUGCCAGUUCUCCCACUUAGAAUGACUAUAAAUAAGGGCAUGCUUUCUAUUUCCUUGGAUCUUGUACAUAAUACAAUGCAAUCAAUUUAGUAGGUAUUUAAUGAAGGCUUGUUGAAGGAAUUAAUGGAUGGAUGGAUGAAAGAAUGAAUGAAACAUUUACUACAGCUUAUUAAGAUGGUCCCACAGCUGCCAUAGUAGGAUUUCCAAAUGCCUUCCAUGUGUAGACACAUUGCAAUGAAUCAGACCAACUGAAUUAUUUAAAGGCAUCUAAUUUUGCUCAGAUCAUAUAAAUGUGUCUGGACUGGUUAUUUCAUUUGGUUAGAAUCCUAUGUUAAUGUGGCUGAAGUUGUGGACUUGAUCCCCCUACUACCAACUUAGUGUCAGAGAAAAAUUGUUCUACAGGGUUUGUGGAUUCUCAUCCUAUCUCAGUAUAUCUCUGCUCUGGACCAGUUCUAAAAUAAUUCAAGCAGUCACAGAAAGAAUGGAUGACUUUAUAUAUACCUACUAUUGCUGUUACAAAAACAACUCAAGUCUUAUUGGCAUUGGAUUAGUAGUGUAUUUAUAUUUGAAGGACUGUAACAUCAUUUAUAGAUUUAAUACAUGAGAGGAAAAAAACCCCUAGUACAUAAACACUGUUUUUGAAUGACACCAGAGACAUUCAUUUCAUAUGCAUAACUUUUUGCCCAAGUGUUUUGGUGUUAUAACUAGCACUUCUGAAGAGCAGGCAUAGAGGACUGAAAGGUAUAAACAGAACCACAUGGUGAAACACUUGCUCUUUGCUCACAGUUUUCAGCCAGAGUUAGGAAUCUCCUUGGAGGAACAUGAGUUCUUCAUAGCAAGAUGGCUGCUGUACUUGGCAUUCAUUGCUUCUCUCCUUGGAGCUGACUAUAAAGGCUACCAAAAGUGCUAAUUCUUGUUGAUGUUCUGUUGAUUAUAGUGCAGUAGAAAGAACCCUGGGUUUAGAGUCAGAAGAACUGUUUUAACUUUUAGUCUAAUUAUUUAUUACCUGUGUGAUACUAGACAAGUUAAUCUCUGUGCUUCAGUUUUCUUUGCUUUAAAAUGAAGGAUAUGGAUAAAAUGGAUGGUCGUUCGGGUUUUAUUUUAUGGUCAGAUGAUCUCUCCUUCUCAGGAAUUAUUUACAGAAUGGCUCUUAUGUGUUUGGUAGUUGUGAAAGUCAAACAGAGUGUGGCCUGAGGGAAUCUCAACUAAUCACAGCCAUAUGGAAGGUUUUUUUUUCCUGCCUAUAUAUUUGUGUGGAUUUCAUGUGUUUCCCUGAGACUUCCUUUCAGCAAGUUAGAGUCCUAGAGCAGUUUAUCUUGUUUGUACCUAGAAAGACACAAUUCUUCCUGAUGUGUGUCCAUUGAUUUGUAUUCAUCUCUGGGCAAGGCAAAGAACCUAGGGUCAUAGUGGAGCUAGCCAGGAACCCACAGUUAUGAGGUAGUGAUGAAAUUGAUAUUAUGUUAUAUUAUAUUAUUAUGUUUCUGACAUUCUCCUGCCUACUAGUGAUAUUUAAAUAAGGAGAAGUGAACAUUGGUGCGGUGGCAUAUUUUAUUAUAUGAAUCAUGAAUCUUGAUGUGGAAUAGUUGAGAACACCUUUUUCUUAAUACGGUGGAAGAUAUGAUUGCCAAACUACUGUGAGUAAACUUUGAAAGAUUGCAGGGAAUAGAAAAAGAGCUGUGAAUAGCUGUUGCAUUUCUAGCCUAGGCAAAAAUAGGAAGACCUACUCUUUAAAAAAAAGAAAAUAAUAAAAAAGGAGAAAAAGAAAACUGUAGUUUAUCACUAAUAUUUAAUGUGCAAGAUGAAGCAUAAAAAUCCUAAAAAGUUCUAAUAAAAUUAACAGAAAAAUUAACAAUUAACAAAAAAUUUACAAUAAAAUUAAAUCAAUAUCUAUAAAAGAAUUUAAUAACUCCCUUAUAAAACUGGGAAUAGUAGAAGACUGAAAAAUAUGUUUCCUGAUGACUGGCCAAUGACACUGGCCAAAAACCAAACAGAAAUUUUGUACCUAUAUGAUAUGAAUCCUUUCUUUGAGAAGAGAGUUUGGAGAUGCUAGAAAAGCAUAAAAAAUAACAGAAAAGGAAUCUGAUAGUAUCAAAUUCAGAUGGUAUCAGAUAUCAGUGAUCUUUUUUAAUCCAAUUUGUCACUGAUGAGUUUUCUAAAUUUUUUGGACUUCUAGCAUCAUCUUCUAAGAUUUUAAAUAACUGACCUAGAAUUCUGUCAUCUCCACUAACCUUAGUGUUGCAAUGCUUCCGAAGGCCCACUUGACUUCAUUCUCCAGGAUGUGGUUAUCAGUGAUGUCAAGAUCUUUCUUAUAUAGUUCUUCUGCAUAUUCUUAAUUUUUUUCUGUUUCUGUUAAGUUUCAUUUUCCAAUAUAGAAAUGCAAAUAGUUUGAUUUUACUGAGUCCCUUAUGGUUAUUCUUUCAUGUUUAAUAUUUCAUGCUUCUCUUGAGUCUUCUGUUUGAAUGCCAAAUUUUCUAUUUAGGUCUGGCCUUUUUUUAGGAAUGCUUGGAAAUCUUUUAUUUCAUUAAAUAUUCAUUUUUUCCCCCUGAAGGAUUCAUACUCAGUUUUGCUGGGCAGAUUAUUUUUAAUUGUAAUCUUAGCUUCUUUGUUUUCCUGAAUAUCAUAUUCUAAGAUCUUUACUCUUUUAAUGUGGAAACUAUUAAAUCUUGUGUAAUACUGACUGUGGCUCCAUGAUAUUUGAUUUGUUUCUUUCUGACUGCUUACAAUAUUUUCUCCUUGAUCUAGGAGUUCUGGAAUUUGAUCAUAAUAUGACUGUGAGUUUUCAUUUUGGGAUCUCUUUCAAGAGGUGAUUGGUAAGAAGUAAAGUUAUGAUGGCGGUAUAGAAGGAGCAGAAGUUUAGACCUCUGAAAACUCUUCCUUACCGAUCACAAACUGAAUGCUCCUAGGGGACUGAAAAUCAAACCUAACAAUAAGACAGAGCCAAGGAACCCUCCUGCUGGACUCAACUCAAAAGCCUCCAGAGGACAGGGAAGCUCAACCUCCAACAACCCUCCCCCACAGACUGCACCAAGAGAUCUUCUAUCAAAGCUCCAAGAGGGGAGACUAACAGAAGCCCCCAAAACCAAAAAAAUGAGAGGAGCAAAGAAGAGGUAAAUAUGAGCAAACAACAGAAAAAGAAGAAAGAAAUUACAAUAGAGGUCUUCUAUUCAGCAAAAGGAACAGAGGGGGAGGGAUAAGCAAACGAUAAAUCAGAAAUGUAAUGGUGAAAAUUUCACCUUUUUUAAGAUUGAUGUAAUAUUGAACAAUGGCUGCCAAGGAAUUUACUUAUGAAAUUCCUAAAAUGAAACACUCAAGUCAGAAUGGAGUUUAUGGAGGUUUAAUCACAAUGGGAGUAGGGAAAAGGAGAGGGAGAGAAGGAGAGAAGAGAAAAGGGAAAGGGGCUACUCAACCUCUGACCAAGGCAGAGGGAGUUUUAGGCCCAAAGGGCCAAGGUGGAAAGAAUCAGUCCUUAACUCACGUGAGUGACCUGAAGGAAAGCUGUUUGUGGGUGUCCUCCCUGUCCAAGCUCCUAACACCAACUGGCGUCUAGCUCUCUCCACAGGAAGUGAGCGAAUUCCGGAGGCUGUUCCCUACCUCACUUCCUGUGUCUCACAAGUGUCAAUGGUUGGCUCUAGCUUGGCUUAGGAUAGCCCAGGUGGGCAGUUAGUUAUUUCUGAUUUGUCAUUGACUAGCACAUGCCCGUGUAGUGUGGGUGUGCACAAUUUUUGGGUGCUAUACCAAGAUGGAGACUUUUAAAAUUCACAAUCCCCCCUGAUGAUGAUUGGGGGACUAGUCUCCCCAAUUGAUCACUAAACAUAAGCAUACUGCACCCCAAAAAUUUCUAACUGUAAGUGUAUACAAAAUUAUUUUUACCCACGAAGAGGAAAAUUAUAAUAGUUGUAAAUAUGGGGAAAUAGAGGAGAGAGAAAGACAGCAAACCAAUGUUUUGCUGGGCUCAUUGACAAAAGCCAAUUAGGGGGCAGUCCCCUUUGGCAUAAGAGUGUACAUUCAAAAAAUGUUCAAUCAACCACACCCCAAGGUUCAUUCUGGAUCUUCCUGUAGUGAAAAGGUUUAGAUAUCUUUCUGAAAACAGUUCAUUCUCUGGAUUCAGUUAGUUAGCAAGCUUCUUCUCUGAAGAUUUAUCUCGAACAAAAUUUAAAUCUUGGAUUUGAUGAAAUACAAUCCCCCCUGAAGAAAGUGUUGAAAAAAACACUGAGGCCAGCUGAGGAUUCAAGUUUUAGUUGUGGGGGUGUGUGAGUUAAUCCAAAAGAAAAACAAAACAAAAUGAAAAUAAAAUAAAAAACAAAAUCAAAAGAAGAAAAAGGGAAAAAAUUAAGGGAAAAAUAUAGACCCUUUAUAUAUGCAUGUUUAUAUUAAAGAAGAAUUCAAAAUCAGUAUCAAAAAAUCAAAAAAUCUAUGUAUAUAAAAUUUGAGAAAGCAAGAAUAAAAAAAUUUUUUCCACAGGCCCCUGUAUUAGGGUCCAGUUAAGUAAUUUCUAAUCCCACAAGUCUGUAGGACAGAAUGCAGCAUAUUUUACUUCCCCAUUUGCAGCCAAGGCUACAGGAAGUUGCCAUACUAUAGGAGAGAAAAAAGGACCAGAUUUUUAUUUUAUAUCUAGGGAAGUGUCAUUCCCUCGUCUGAUUUUACCUUCGUUCUCAGGGAUGGAGGGAGCCAGGAUGGUAGCCAACCUUAGGUACUUGUCUGUAGGUACUUUCAUGAAGAGUGUGGAUACAGGGAAGGCCUACAUCUUAACGUCUGUCACUGAUGUAUUGUGUGUCUCAGGUUUUUUAUUCUUGCUUUUCAUUUUGUUUUGUUUUUCUUUUGGAUUAACUCACACACCCCCACAACUAAAACUUGAAAUGCGUUAAUCCUACCUGGAUUGGUCUUUGAUUUUUAGACCUGUGAGCUCUUUUGGCAUUAUCCAGGUUAUCUCUGUGCUCCUUUUUUGAUCCCGCGCCUAAAAUCAGACACAAACAUUAAUCAUAGUCCCACAACAAUUAUCAAUAAACGGCAGGUUCCCAUAGUCUAAAGCUGUUUAGGUGCGUAUUAAUAAUAACAGCAAGUAUAUAUAUUUAAACUAAUAUUGUAGAAUAAAAUUAAUAUUGAUCAUAUGUACCUUAAGUACAUAGAAAUGAGAAAAAGGGAUAAAAUAAUGUCAAAAAAUAAUAAAAUAAGGAAAAGAGAAAAAAGGAAAAAAGAAAAAAAUUAAAUUUAGGAAUUCAAUGUGUCAAAAGCAGAAUAAAACAGUUCCACUUGUCAAUGGGUAGUUAUCUCCAAUGCAUGUAUAGGAUACAGUCAAUCAGUUUCAACAGAGGAUGCUCUCUUUACAUGUGAGCAGUGAAUCCAAGAGUCCUUUUCUCCAACCUUUAUAGAUGUUGGAGAAGUUAACAAUAUUUGGAAUGGUCCUUCCCAGGAAGGCUGGGUUGCUCCUGUAUGCUGGAAGUUCUUUAUAUACACGUUGUCUCCUGGGUUCAGGUCGUGAAGUGAGAAGUCUAAUGGUCCGGCUUGUACUGCAGCCCCGGAUUCAUGUAGCUCACGCAGUUUGUGCUGUAACUCCUGUAUAUAGGAAGCAAUAGUAAUAUCUCCCCCUAAUAGCGAUGUAUAAGCCGGGGAGAAAGGCUUAGCCUGUAUAGGCAGAUGUCCAAAAAGCAUCUCAAAUGGUGAAAUAUGUAAGUCUCCUCUAGGCCUGCUUCUAAGAUAAAAUAGGGCCAAAGGGAGAAUUUCAGGCCAUUUUAAAUGGGUCUCAGUGCAUAAUUUGCCAAUCAUAGUUUUAAGUUCUUUGUUCAUCCUCUCAGCUUGGCCUGAACUCUGGGGAUGAUAUGGAACAUGGAAUUUGGGAGUUAUCCCCAAGCAAGAAUAUGUCUGGUUUAGAACAGAAUCAGUAAAAUGAUUCCCCCUAUCAGAAUCAAUACGUGCUGGCAGGCCAAAGCGAGGAAUAAUUUCUUUUAAAAGCACCUUAGCAACAAAAGCUGCUGUGGCUCGGGCUGUAGGAAAUGCUUCCAGCCAUCUGGUCAGUUGGUCUACUAUGACCAAACAAAAUUUAUAUUGUCCAGCCUUUGGCAUUGUUAUGAAAUCUAUCUGCAGGUGCUCAAAAGGUGUGUAAGCCAGAGGACGCCCACCAAAGGCUUUACCACGAAAGGCAUGUUGGUUAUAUGCCUGGCAGGUAGAGCAGGCUGAACACACUUUAGAGGCUAUGGUAGUUAUACCAGGGGCUAUCCAUACUCUCUUAACAGAGUCCACGAUGCCCUGGGUACCAAAGUGGCUGUUAUUAUGAACAGAUUGGCAAAUUUGGUGAUAGAAACUUCUAGGGAGCAGGGAUUUUUCUUCAGAUGACACCCAGACUCCAUUGAUCUGUUUUGCUUUGAAUUUCUGCUUCCAUUUUUCCACUUCCUUCUCAUUAUAGGAAAGUGAUAAAUUUGAGUCAUCAGUAGUUGUUAAUGUUAGAAGUAAUUCAGGCCCUUCUAUGGCUGCUAGCUUUGCAGCAGCAUCUGCUCAGUCAUUUCCCCUAGAGACAGGGUCAGUGCCACCUGUAUGGGCUGAGCAAUGAACUACAGCUAGGGCUUCAGGCAGCUGAAGAGCAGAAAGAACUUCAUUAAUAAUUUCUGCAUUAGCUAUGGAUUUUCCAGCUGAGGUUAAAAAUCCUCUCUGAAGCCAUAGCAUCCCGACUGAGUGACAAAUGCCAAAAGCAUAUCUAGAAUCCGUAUAAAUUGUUGCCUUUUUAUCCUUGGCAAUUAUACAGGCAUGUUUCAGAGCUAUGAGCUCUGCCCCUUGAGCGCUAAUGUUAGAGGGCAAUGAAGCUGACCAUUCAGUGGCAAAUUCUGUGACUACAGCAGCUCCACUGUAGCAUAUGCCAUCCCUCAUGAAAGAAGAACCAUCAGUAAAUAAGAUCAGGUCUGAGUUCUUUAAGGGAGUGUCCAAGAGAUCAUCUCGAGGCUUUUCUGCCAUGGACACUAGUGCUUCACAACUGUGUAAUGGUUCUCCUGAAGUUGGUAAGUCUGGAAGCAAGGUGGCAGGAUUAAGGGUUGUACAGCAUUUCAGAGUAAUAUUUUCACUAUUUAGCAAGGUUAUUUCAUACCUUGUAAUUCGCUGAUCAGAAAAUGCCUGUGUUCUUUGUCUUAGCAAUAAUGCUUCUACCUCGUGUGGACACAUAAUUGUUAGUGGGCAUCCUAAUACUAGAUCAAUGGUUUUUGUCACUAGUAAAGCAGUAGCAGCCACUCCUCUAAGGCAUGGUGAUGCUCCUGAAGCUAUUGGGUCCAGCUGGGCUGAAUAAUAAGCAACUGGACGCUGAGAAGGCCCCAGAGUCUGAGUUAAAACGCCUGAGGCUACUCCUCUUCGCUCAUGUACAUACAAAGUAAAUGGCUUGUUAUAAUUUGGGAUGCCUAGAGCAGGGGCAGAUAGGAUAGCCUUUUUUAGCUCUGAUAGAGCUGACAGGUGUUCAGGCUCUAAUUUGAGGGGUUCAGGGACUGCAUCCCUUGUUAGUGCUAUAAGAGGUUUAGUAAUUUCCCCAUAGCAAGGAAUCCAUUGUCUGCAAAACCCUGUUGCUCCCAGAACUGCUCUUAACUGUUUUUUAGUGGUAGGAGCACUCAAUUUUUGAAUAUUCUCAAUUCACUUGGGAGAAAUAGAGCGGGCACCAGCUGUCAGAAUGAACCCCAAAUAUUCUACUUUGGGGAGACACCACUGAACUUUAUCCUUCGAGAUCUUAUGACCUCUUUUGUGCAAUUCCAAAAGAAGGUGUUUACUAUCUUCCUGACAUGCUUCUGCAUCCAUGGAAGCCAAGAGUAGGUCAUCUACAUAUUUUAUUAAUUUGCUGUUUUUAAAUUUUAUAUUAUCUGUAUCUUGUCCCAAAAUUUGUGCAAAUAAGGUCGGACUUUUUAUAUAACCCUGGGUCAGACGACUCCAGGAAUAUUGUAUGCCAUUCCAGGUGAAAGCAAAAAUAUGCCUCGAGUUCUCAUGUAUGGGUAUAGAAAAGAAGGCUGAGCACAAGUCUACUACUGUAAAGUAUGUAGCUGUGCUAGGAAUAGAAGAAAUAAUAGUAUUGAUAUUGGGAACUAUGGAGUGUCUCUUUAUAACGUGAUUGUUCACAGCCCUCAAAUCCUGUACGAAUCUAUAGAGGUGUUUGCCAUUGGGCCCCCUUUUUGUUUUUUUAACGGGGAGGAUGGGCGUGUUGUAUUCAGAUUUACAAGGGAAAAUUAUUCCUUGGUCAAUUAAGGAGUUUAUUAUUGGGGUAAUGCCCUCCAUUGCCUCCUUGGAGAGAGGAUAUUGAGGGAUGCAAGGAGGUGGGCUGGAUUUAGUUUUUAUUUGCACGGGAGCAGCUGAUUUAAGUAAGCCUACAUCAGUAGAAGAUGUGGCCCAAAGAGACUCUGGUAUAUCUGUAGGUAUUUCAAAGGUGGGAGGCUCCUUUGCCUCCUGGCUCUCUGAGAGAAAUAUAGGGAGUAAAUUUAAGGUUUCCUCGGGCACUUCUAAAGAGAGGGAGCCAUCUGGGGCGCACAUUAUUGUGGCUUGUAAUUUGCAUAGUAAAUCUCUCCCCAGCAAAUUUGUGGGGGAUCCAGGCAUUAAAAGAAAAGAAUGUUCAACAGUUAGGGGUCCCACACGUACCAUGCGAGGAGAAAGUUUUGGGACCUUUAAAGGUUUUCCUGAAACACCUACUACAUUUAAGGAGCCAAUAGAAUCACAUUUCUCAUCUGGUUUGCUUACUAGAACUGACCUAGAUGCUCCAGUGUCUAGAAGACAGUCAUAGUAUGAAUUUCCUACCUUUAAAGUGACAUGAGGUUCCUUACUGUUUGGGGGGGAAUAUAUAGGGGUUAUUGGCAUUAAAAUAUCAGGGUCUGGAAAAUCAAAGGUUUCAUUCUUUGAUUCCAAGGCCCUCACCCCCUCUUCACACCUUCAUAAAGAUGCUUGGGCAGUUUUUUGGGACCCUCCACGCUGUUGGAGGUGUACCUGAGUGUAGCGUGGUCGAGCUCCAUUUCUUAUAUAUUGUUGUUGGGCAUUUUUUGGGGUAGUAUCAUUUUCUGUAUUUUGAGCACUGUCAUUUUGAUUGGCAUUGUGAUUCCUAUAGUUAUUAUUCCUAAAGGUGUUAUUAUUUCUUGUUUCCUGUAGCCUGCUCCUACAGACUAUGAUUGCAUGGCCUCUCUUCCCACAGAAGAGGCAUAUUAAGGGGUUUGUUAAUGAUCUAUCUGUGGAUUCCUGCAAAGGGGCCAUGGUCUCUCCCUUACUUUUCAAUUGUUCCUUUAAAAUUUCAAUUUCUUUUUUUAAGUCUGUCACUGAUGUAUUGUGUGUCUCAGGUUUUUUUGUACGAUUCUUAUAGGCAUAUGCUGCUACUUUCCUCAGUUCGUCGAGGUCCAUAGACUCCCAGUUGGGAUAGCUAGUUUCAAAGUAGUCUUUUACUGCUGAACAACAAUUCCUAAUGAAUUGUCUGCAUAUAUGUUUAAUGUCUUUUUCUCUGGACAAAUCAAGGUCCAUAUAUGUACUUCCUACAUCAAUAAGUCUGUCCAUAAAGUGGGAGGGGGUCUCAUCAAUUUCCUGUCGGGAUUGUUCAAAUUUUUCCCAUGCAUCAGGGCUAUCAGAGCAGUCUCUCAUGGCUUUUAAUAAUGCUUCUCUGGCCAGGGCUAGUUUUGUGUGAUCUUGUGCAAUAUUGGGGUUCCAGUGUGGAUCUACAGUUGGCCAGUGAUGAGCUCCUCUACCACUUUUCUUAUUAGCUAGAGAGAUGACAUUAUUUUUCUCUCUCUUUGUCAGAAAUGAAUCUAACAAAUUCUCCACAUCCAACCAAGAAGGGUCAAAGUUUCUGAAUAUAUUUUCUAAUUUUUCUAUAACCAACAUUGGUUCUGCCUCAAAUGAUUGAACAUUGUGCUUGAAUUUUUCUAAAUCAUCAGGUUUAAAAGGUGUAUAGUGUCUUACAGACACCAAGUUCCCUUCUUUAUUAAAGGUGGGUACUUCCCUCAAUGGAAAUAAACUUCUGUCUAAAUUAUCUGGUGUUACUGUUUCUAGGCUACUUGCUCCAUUUUCAAUGGGGUAGGUAAGAGAAGGGGAAAGGUUAGGAUUAUUGGCUGUUGGAGCAUGGGGGUUGGAGAU